GAUGAACGCUGGCGGCGUGCUUAACACAUGCAAGUCGAACGAUGAAGCCCAGCUUGCUGGUUGGAUUAGUGGCGAACGGGUGAGUAACACGUGAGUAACCUGCCCUUAACUCUGGGAUAAGCCUGGGAAACUGGGUCUAAUACCGGUUAGGAGCGUCCACCGCAGGGUGGGUGUUGGAAAGAUUUGGCGGUUUUGGAUGGACUCGCGGCCUAACAGCUUGUUGGGGGGGAAACGGCUCACCAAGGCGGCGCCGGAUAGGCCGCAUGAGAGGGUGACCGGCCACACGGGGACUGCGGGAGGGAGCAGUGUGCUACGGGAGGCAGUAGGGGGGAAUAUUGCACAAUGGGGGCAAGCCUGAUGCAGAGACGUCGCGUGAGGGAUGACGGCCUUCGUGUUGUAAACCUCUUUCAGUAGGGAAGAAGCGAAAGUGACGGUACCUGCAGAAGAAGCACCGGCUAACUACGUG
This 466-nucleotide ribosomal RNA is filed under the name uncultured bacterium. Its description in RNAcentral is "partial 16S ribosomal RNA". It matches the Rfam family "Bacterial small subunit ribosomal RNA", at positions 28 to 507 of the family's 1533-position model. The record is from RNAcentral.